GUUAAACAUAAAGAGCGUAGGGUGGAUGCCUAGGCACUGACAGCCGAAGAAAGACGUGACAAGCUGCGAAAAGCUGCGGGGAGAAGCACAUAUUCAGUGAUCCGCAGAUGUCUGAAUGGGGAAACCCGCUUGGAAGGACUCCAAGCAUCUGUAUGCCAAUACAUAACAUACAGAAGGGAACCCGGUGAACUGAAACAUCUAAGUAGCCGGAGGAAAAGAAAACAACAGUGAUUGCGGGAGUAGUGGCGAGCGAAACCGUAAGAGCCCAAACCGUGGUGCGUGCACUGCGGGGUAGAGGACUGCAAAAGGAGAAAGAUAUAUUACCUGAACCGUUUUGGAAAAGCGGGCCAAAGAGCGUGAGAGCCGUGUAAGGGAAAAUGUAUAAAAUCCGGCAGUAUCCGGAGUACCACGAGACACGAGAAACCUUGUGGGAAGCAGGGGGGACCACCCCCCAAGGCUAAAUACUAGUCAGUGACCGAUAGCGUAUAGUACUGUGAAGGAAAGGUGAAAAGAACCCCGGGAGGGGAGUGAAAAAGAACCUGAAACCCUAUGUUUACAAACUGUGGAACACCGCAAGGUGAACCGCGUACUUUUUGUAGAACGGUCCGGCGAGUUGCAUGUACUGGCAAGGUUAAGCACUAAAGGUGCGAAGCCGAAGAGAGAUCAAGUCUUAAUAGGGCGAAGAAGUCAGUGAAUGCAGACCCGAAACCGGGUGAUCUAUCCAUGUCCAGGUUGAAGUCAACGUAAAAGUUUAUGGAGGACCGAACCCACAUCCGUUGAAAAGGGUGGGGAUGAGGUGUGGAUAGGGGAGAAAUUCCAAUCGAACCCGGAGAUAGCUGGUUCUCCUCGAAAUAGUUUUAGGACUAGCCUCGUUAACAGUCUACCGGAGGUAGAGCACUGAAUUUUUGCGGGGGCGUCAAAGCCUACCAAGAGAUAUCAAACUCCGAAUGCCGGCUAGAUGAUAAACGGGAGUCAGACUACACGAGAUAAGUUGGGUAGUCAAAAGGGAAAGAGCCCAGACCUACGGCUAAGGUCCCAAAGUGUGUGUUAAGUGGAAAAGGAUGUGGGAUUUCAAAGACAGCUAGGAUGUUGGCUUAGAAGCAGCCAUACAUUAAAAGAGUGCGUAACAGCUCACUAGUCGAGAGGUCCUGCGCCGAAAAUGUCCGGGGCUAAACACAACACCGAAGCCUGGGAAUGUAUUUUAUACAUUGGUAGAGGAGCAUUCUUAUAAGCGUAGAAGCCAUACCGGAAGGAGUGGUGGAGUAAUAAGAAGAGAGAAUGCCGGAAUGAGUAGCGAGAAAGAGGUGAGAAUCCUCUUGGCCGAAUAUCUAAGGUUUCCUGAGUAAAGCUGAUCUACUCAGGGUAAGUCGGGGCCUAAGGCAAGGUCGAAAGACGUAGUCGAUGGAUAACAGGUACAGAUUCCUGUACUACAUAUAAUCAGAACUGUGGGGACACGGAGACUAAAAACCGAACCCGGGAGGACAAAAACCGGGGCAAGCGAAGUACCUGUAUGGGAGGCAAAACCACCAUGCAAAGGGAAAACGUGAUGCGUACCGAAAGUUAGUAGGGAAGUCGGUUAGGGAGCCGUCAAGAAAAGCCGCUAUUGUAUUAUAUGUACCCGUACCGCAAACCGACACAGGUAGAUGAGGAGAGAAUCCUAAGGCCGGCGGGAGAAGCAUUGUUAAGGAACUCGGCAAAAUGACCCCGUAACUUCGGGAGAAGGGGUGCCACUUUAAAAGAGUGGUCGCAGAAAAAAGGCUCAAGCAACUGUUUAGCAAAAACACAGGUCUAUGCGAAACCGUAAGGUGAAGUAUAUGGGCUGACGCCUGCCCGGUGCCGGAAGGUUAAGAGGAGAAGUCAGGAAACGAAGCUUUGAAUUGAAGCCCCGGUAAACGGCGGCCGUAACUAUAACGGUCCUAAGGUAGCGAAAUUCCUUGUCGGGU
Molecule: ribosomal RNA, 1943 nt
Filed under: human metagenome
Description: bacterial LSU rRNA
Rfam family: Bacterial large subunit ribosomal RNA
Source: RNAcentral